UUGCCACAAUUCUAACUGAAAU
RNAcentral lists this non-coding RNA (22 nucleotides) under Arabidopsis thaliana (thale cress). Lineage: Eukaryota; Viridiplantae; Streptophyta; Magnoliopsida; Brassicales; Brassicaceae. The record is from RNAcentral.